GACGAACGCUGGCGGCGUGCUUAACACAUGCAAGUCGAACGGAAAGGCCCUGCUUGCCGGGUACUCGAGUGGCGAACGGGUGAGUAACACGUGGGUGAUCUGCCCUGCACUUCGGGAUAAGCUUGGGAAACUGGGUCUAAUACCGGAUAGGAACCAUCUUUAGUGUGGUGGUUGGAAAGUUUUUUCGGUGUAGGAUGAACUCGCGGCCUAUCAGCUUGUUGGUGGGGUAAUGGCCUACCAAGGCGGCGACGGGUAGCCGGCCUGAGAGGGUGUACGGCCACAUUGGGACUGAGAUACGGCCCAGACUCCUACGGGAGGCAGCAGUGGGGAAUAUUGCACAAUGGGCGCAAGCCUGAUGCAGCGACGCCGCGUGGGGGAUGAAGGCCUUCGGGUUGUAAACUCCUUUCGCUAGGGACGAAGCUUUGUUGUGACGGUACCUAGAUAAGAAGCACCGGCUAACUACGUG
RNAcentral lists this ribosomal RNA (466 nucleotides) under uncultured bacterium. RNAcentral's name for it is "partial 16S ribosomal RNA". It matches the Rfam family "Bacterial small subunit ribosomal RNA", at positions 28 to 507 of the family's 1533-position model. The record is from RNAcentral.